This 460-nucleotide ribosomal RNA is filed under the name uncultured bacterium. RNAcentral describes it as "partial 16S ribosomal RNA". It matches the Rfam family "Bacterial small subunit ribosomal RNA", at positions 338 to 795 of the family's 1533-position model. The record is from RNAcentral.
CCUACGGGUGGCAGCAGUGAGGAAUAUUGGUCAAUGGACGAGAGUCUGAACCAGCAAAGUAGCGUGAAGGAUGACUGACCUAUGGGUUGUAAACUUCUUUUAUAAAGGAAUAAAACGAGGCACGUGUGCCUUUUUGCAUGUACUUUAUGAAUAAGGAUCGGCUAAUUCCGUGCAAGCAGCAGCGGUAAUACGGAGGAUCCGAGGGUUAUCCGGAUUUAUUGGGGUUAAAGGUAUCGUAGAUGGGUUGGUAAGUCAGUUGUGAAAGUUUGCGGCUCAACCGUAAAAUUGCAAUUGAUACUGGCAGUCUUGAGUACAGUUGAGGUAAGCGGAAUUCGUGGUGUAGCGGUGAAAUGCUUAGAUAUCACGAAGAACCCCGAUUGCGAAGGCAGCUUACUAAACUGUGACUGACAUUGAUGCUCGAAAGUGUGGGUAUCAAACAGGAUUAGAUACCCGAGUAGUC